GAUGAACGCUGGCGGCGUGCCUAAUACAUGCAAGUAGAACGCUGAAGGAGGAGCUUGCUCUUCUGGAUGAGUUCCGAACGGGUGAGUAACGCGUAGGUAACCUGCCUGGUAGCGGGGGAUAACUCUUGGAAACGAUAGCUAAUACCGCAUGACAUCAGUUAUUGCACGAUAACUGUUUAAAAGGGGCAACUGCUCCACUACCAGAUGGACCUGCGUUGUAUUAGGUAGUUGGUGAGGUAACGGCUCAACAAAGCGACGAUACAUAGGCGACCCGGGAAGGGUGAUCGGCCACACUGGAAUUGAGCACCGGCCAGGCUCCCUCGGGGAGGCGGCGUAGGGGAUCCUCGGCAAUGGAGCGAAGGCUUAACGGGCAAAGCCGGGUGGGUGAAGAAGGGUCUCCGGUCGGAAAGCUCUGUUGUAAGGGGAGAAAGAGAUGUGUAGGGGAAUGUUCACGCUGUGACGGUAUCUUAUCAGAAAGCGACGGCUAACUACGUG
This 495-nucleotide ribosomal RNA is filed under the name uncultured bacterium. RNAcentral's name for it is "partial 16S ribosomal RNA". It matches the Rfam family "Bacterial small subunit ribosomal RNA", at positions 28 to 507 of the family's 1533-position model. The record is from RNAcentral.